This 493-nucleotide long non-coding RNA is filed under the name Monodelphis domestica (gray short-tailed opossum). Its description in RNAcentral is "lncRNA (ENSMODG00000032235.2)". Lineage: Eukaryota; Metazoa; Chordata; Mammalia; Didelphimorphia; Didelphidae. The record is from RNAcentral.
AAUCUCUUUCGUAAUUAGUAAAAUAUGCUUGGCUAGAUCACUGCAUUUUUGGGGCUAUGGCUCCAGCUAGUGGCUGGAGAGGGUCAUCACUCAUGUCGCCCUUCACCCUUCACUCUUCACUAUGUGGAACUGGAAGAAUUGGCUCUCCCCCUUUCCAUUUUCUUUUCCAGAUGAUAAUGGAAGCCCUCCGCAGUGUGCUGAAAAGGGGACAGAUAGAGGGAUAGAGAAAGGGGCAGAGAAAAAGGAAGAGAGAGGAGGAGGAAAAGAAUAUAGUUGGCUCUAUGUUCAGAAUGGGUAGUGAUGGAGGAACAUUACUUCAAAUACUGAACCAAAGAAAUGCAGGAAGUCUAAGGGUGCUCGUUUUUAAGAAGCAAAUAAUUGGACUGUGGACAUGCUUCUGCCUCUUCUGACAUUGGUUCAGCAGUGAACUCAUAAGACGAAUAACUCUCAAAUGGCUAAUAAAGCAGAAACCUCUUCAGUGGAUAUUUGUAAU